Molecule: long non-coding RNA, 1038 nt
Organism: Daphnia magna
Lineage: Eukaryota; Metazoa; Arthropoda; Branchiopoda; Diplostraca; Daphniidae
Exons: 2
Source: RefSeq, a predicted model, not a curated record
GGGGAGGGGCUCCCAAGUUGCCGCUACGUCUUCCCUGCGCUUUAUCAGUACUGUAGUACGAGACUUCUUUUUUUUUUCUUUUGGUGGAGGGGAAAGGUUUAUUUAUUCAAGAGCCAGAGUUGAGUAAUGCUAGAUGACGGGGCUUGCAGAGGUCGGCUACUGCUGUAGUAUUAUAUUAGCGAAUAGAGUAAAAGUAAAGUACUAAUAGAAAAAAAAGUACAGUACACUCAAUAUUCGAGGUAAAUACUGAUGUUGACAAUCAUCACAAUCUAUUCGCCGACAUAAAGCAAAUAGACACUUGCACCGCGCCCGAGCAGUUCAACUUUUCUAUCUCUGUGAUUUCGGUAGUUCCAGAGUGCACAGUCGAAUAUUGUGUGUUGUGCUUCUCGUUUUCAACAACAAGAAUUGUGGAUUUUUUCAUUCUCGAGCUAAAUUAAAUUUGUGUAAAUGAUUGGCAACAUGUAACUCUUGAAUUUGUGAGAAAGUCCUUCUUUUGAACCGCCAUUUAAUCAGUACUACCUGUUUCACCUGAAACUUACAGGAUGCCGUCGGCUCCAGCUCAUAAUUAUGAGGCAGAUAGCAUUUCAAAAAUCUCAUGAAUCGUUAGGUCGUCGUAGUGUUUUGUAUGACUAUAAAUUUACGUAAGCUGAAAUUCAACAUCCUCGAUGACUUGAUUUUGUGCGCCAGAUCCCAUACUACGCCAAAUCAUCUCACCUGCAUUCCAGCAAGUGAAAAGCUUUGUUCUUGAGCUUUGUUCUUGAUGCUUUGACCAGUUUCGACAUGAACGGCAGACUGGUUAAGACAAGAGUUUCACGAUCCUGCUCGUUCCUGCGUUGGGUAAACUUGUUAUGCAAAAAUGAUCCACCAGGGUCGUUUCCAAUCGCCUAUGACCCUGUCUGAGAGAACCUUGAAAUCGAAAUUCCCCGCAUUGCUGGGAACAGACCAAUAUCAAAGACUGCUAUUUACCUGUCAACAGUUUCAUUCUAUACUGAACAGAUGCAUGCAUGUGCGUGAAUAAAUAUUCGGGUAAAGAUUAAA